Molecule: long non-coding RNA, 228 nt
Filed under: Setaria italica (foxtail millet)
Lineage: Eukaryota; Viridiplantae; Streptophyta; Magnoliopsida; Poales; Poaceae
Description: long non-coding RNA (SITA_LNC000133)
Source: RNAcentral
GUGCUUCAACUUCAAUUUCUGCACAGACCAGUUUCAGAUAUUGUUUGUUGUUGAUUCUUAUUCUCUUGCAUGAUGGUUCCAGGAGAAUUGACGGGUAACUGAUGCAAGGACCACUGGCUUAAGUGAAAACCUGAAAGCUCAGGUACUUGAAUUGUCCUUUGAGUUCAAAUGCACUGGCAUUGAAAAUGAGUGGCCUGGAUAGAAGCAAGAUAGUGUUUGAGAAUAGAA